GACACGUGAAAUCCUGUCUGAAUAUGGGGGGACCAUCCUCCAAGGCUAAAUACUCCUGAAAGACCGAUAGUGAACAAGUACUGUGAAGGAAAGGUGAAAAGCACUUCGAAUAGAAGGGUGAAAUAGAACCUGAAACCGUACGCCUACAAGCGGUCGGAGCACCUAUAUGGUGUGACGGCGUGCCUUUUGCAUAAUGAGCCUACGAGUUAAUUUUACUAGCGAGGUUAAGGACUUCAGGUCCGGAGCCGGAGCGAAAGCGAGUCUGAAUAGGGCGCAUAGUUAGUAGGAUUAGACGCGAAACCUUGUGAUCUACCCAUGGGCAGGUUGAAGCUCUGGUAACACAGAGUGGAGGACCGAACCGGUUGACGUUGAAAAGUCUUCGGAUGACCUGUGGGUAGGGGUGAAAGGCCAAUCAAACUGGGAGAUAGCUCGUACUCCCCGAAAUGCAUUUAGGUGCAGCGUUGCGACAAGUUUAUUAGAGGUAGAGCUACUGAUUGGAUGCGGGGGUUUCAUCGCCUACCAAUUCCUGACAAACUCCGAAUGCUAAUAAAUGUUUCGCAGCAGUGAGGGCAUGGGUGCUAAGGUCCAUGUCCGAGAGGGAAAGAACCCAGACCAACAGCUAAGGUCCCCAAAUAUAUGCUAAGUUGAAGCAACGCGGUUGAACUGCAUUGACAGCUAGGAUGUUGGCUUGGAAGCAGCCAUUCAUUUAAAGAGUGCGUAACAGCUCACUAGUCGAGCGGUCCGGCAUGGAUAAUAAUCGGGCAUAAGCAUAUUACCGAAGCUAUGGAUUUGUACAAUAGUACAUCUGGUAGGGGAGCAUUCUAUUUGCGCCGAAGCAGUAUCGCGAGGUAUUGUGGAGCGGAUAGAAAAGAAAAUGUAGGCAUAAGUAACGAUAAAGGGGGCGAGAAACCCCCUCACCGAAAGACUAAGGUUUCCUCAGCCAUGCUAAUCAGCUGAGGGUUAGUCGGGGCCUAACGCGAACCCGAAAGGGGUAGUGGAUGGACAAUGGGUUAAUAUUCCCAUACUUGCUCACAUUAAAAAGGGGACGGUUGGAUGUAGCUACUAAAGACGGACGGAAGUGUCAAGGCUUAGCCUUCGGGCGAAGCUGCUGUAGUGUAAUCUGAUCCAAGAAAAGCCGAAGUGAAGCAACCCGUACCAAAACCGACACAGGUGGUCGAGGAGAGAAUCCUAAGGUGCUCGAGUGAGUCGUGGCUAAGGAACUAGGCAAAAUAGUCUCGUAACUUCGGAAGAAGAGACGCCAGCAGUAAUGCUGGCCGCAGUGAAGAGGCCCAGGCGACUGUUUAUCAAAAACACAGGACUCUGCUAAAUCGAAAGAUGCUGUAUAGGGUCUGACACCUGCCCGGUGCUGGAAGGUUAAGGAAGGUGCUUAGCGCAAGCGAAGGCAUUGACUGAAGCCCCAGUAAACGGCGGCCGUAACUAUAACGGUCCUAAGGUAGCGAAAUUCCUUGUCGGGUAAGUUCCGACCUGCACGAAUGGUGUAACGAUCUGGGCACUGUCUCAGCCACGAGCUCGGUGAAAUUGUAGUAUCGGUGAAGAUGCCGAUUACCCGCAAUGGGACGAAAAGACCCUGUGAACCUUUACUAUAACUUCGUAUUGACUCUGAGUAAAUAAUGUGUAGGAUAGGUGGGAGGCUUUGAAGCAGGCACGCUAGUGUUUGUGGAGCCAACGUUGAAAUACCACCCUUUGUUUACUUGGAGCCUAACUUCGAAAGAAGGACAUUGCGUGGUGGGUAGUUUGACUGGGGUGGUCGCCUCCAAAAGAGUAACGGAGGCUUUCAAAGGUACCCUCAGCACGCUUGGUAACCGUGCGUAGAGUGUAAUGGCAUAAGGGUGCUUGACUGUGAGACCUACAAGUCGAUCAGGUGCGAAAGCAGGACAUAGUGAUCCGGUGGUUCCGUAUGGAAGGGCCAUCGCUCAUAGGAUAAAAGGUACUCCGGGGAUAACAGGCUAGUCUCCCCCAAGAGCUCACAUCGACGGGGAGGUUCGGCACCUCGAUGUCGGCUCGUCACAUCCUGGGGCUGGAGAAGGUCCCAAGGGUUG
RNAcentral lists this ribosomal RNA (2060 nucleotides) under wastewater metagenome. Its description in RNAcentral is "bacterial LSU rRNA". It matches the Rfam family "Bacterial large subunit ribosomal RNA", at positions 421 to 2574 of the family's 2925-position model. The record is from RNAcentral.